UUCAAAUUUUUAAGAGCAAACGGUGAAUGCCUUGGCAUGUAGAGCCGAAGAAGGACGUAGUAAUCUGCGAUAAGCCUCGGGGAGUUGAUAAACGAACUGUGAUCCGAGGAUGUCCGAAUGGGGAAACCCCGCCAGGCCCGUGAGGUGACCUGGUGACUCCCGCCUGAAUAUAUAGGGCGGGUAGAGGGAACGUGGGGAAGUGAAACAUCUCAGUACCCACAGGAAGAGAAAACAACAGUGAUUCCGUUAGUAGUGGCGAGCGAACCCGGAUGAGGCUAAACCGAUCAUGUGUGAUAGCCGGUAGGCGUUGCAUGGUCGGGGUUGCGGGACUUUUCUGCCUAUUCUACCGAAUGGUAAGGGUUAGAACGUUGUAUAGACGAACAGGAUUGAAAGCCUGGUCAUAGAGGGUGCGAACCCCGUAGUCGAAAUGCAGCAAUCGCCCGAGAAGUAUCCCAAGUAGCACGGGGCCCGAGAAAUCCCGUGUGAAUCCGUCAGGACCACCUGAUAAGCCUAAAUACUCCUACAUGACCGAUAGUGAACAAGUACCGUGAGGGAAAGGUGAAAAGUACCCCGGGAGGGGAGUGAAAUAGUACCUGAAACCGUUUGCUUACAAACCGUUGGAGCCAGCUUUGUUCUGGUGACAGCGUGCCUUUUGAAGAAUGAGCCUGCGAGUUAGUGAUAUGUGGCGAGCUUAACCCGAGAGGGGAAUGCGUAGCGAAAGCGAGUCUGAAUAGGGCGAUUCAGUCGCAUGUCCUAGACCCGAAGCGAAGUGAUCUAUCCAUGGCCAGGUUGAAGCGACGGUAAGACGUCGUGGAGGACCGAACCCACUUCAGUUGAAAAUGGAGGGGAUGAGCUGUGGAUAGGGGUGAAAGGCCAAUCAAACUUCGUGAUAGCUGGUUCUCUCCGAAAUGCAUUUAGGUGCAGCGUUGCGUGUUUCUUGCCGGAGGUAGAGCUACUGGAUGGCCGAUGGGGCCUAAAAGCUUACUGACGUCAGCCAAACUCCGAAUGCCGGUAAGUGAGAGCGCAGCAGUGAGACGGUGGGGGAUAAGCUUCAUCGUCGAGAGGGAAACAACCCAGACCACCAACUAAGGUCCCAAAGCGCGUGCUAAGUGGGAAAGGAUGUGGAGUUGCACAGACAACCAGGAGGUUGGCUUAGAAGCAGCCACCCUUGAAAGAGUGCGUAAUAGCUCACUGGUCAAGUGAUUCCGCGCCGACAAUGUAACGGGGCUCAAGCACGCCACCGAAGUUGUGGCAUUGAUAUUUUUGGUUAGCUAACACCCUUGUGGUGUUGGUUCAGCCGUGUUGAUGGGUAGGAGAGCGUCGUGUGGCCAGCGAAGCGGCGGUGUAAACCAGCCGUGGAGGCCACACGAGUGAGAAUGCAGGCAUGAGUAGCGAAAGACGGGUGAGAAACCCGUCCUCCGAAAGAUCAAGGGUUCCAGGGCCAGGCUAAUCCGCCCUGGGUAAGUCGGGACCUAAGGCGAGGCCGACAGGCGUAGUCGAUGGACAACGGGUUGAUAUUCCCGUACUGACGAAAAACCGCCCAAGCUAAUCCAGUAAUGCUAAGCAUCUGAAUCCCCUAGAUGGAUCCCUUCGGGGUGAAGCGUGGGGCCUAGCGUGCGACCCUAUGCUGGUGCGGUUAGCGUAUUAACAGGUGUGACGCAGGAAGGUAGCUGAGCCGGGCGAUGGUUGACCCGGUCUAAGGAUGUAGGGCGAACGAUAGGCAAAUCCGUCGUUCAUGAUGCCUGAGACCCGAUGGGUAGCCCGUAAGGGUGAAAUCAGUGAUCCUAUGCUGCC
This 1794-nucleotide ribosomal RNA is filed under the name Cryobacterium serini. RNAcentral describes it as "Cryobacterium sp. Sr54 partial 23S ribosomal RNA". It matches the Rfam family "Bacterial large subunit ribosomal RNA", at positions 1 to 1609 of the family's 2925-position model. Lineage: Bacteria; Bacillati; Actinomycetota; Actinomycetes; Micrococcales; Microbacteriaceae. The record is from RNAcentral.